RNAcentral lists this ribosomal RNA (32 nucleotides) under Aspergillus flavus. RNAcentral's name for it is "partial 28S ribosomal RNA". The record is from RNAcentral. Lineage: Eukaryota; Fungi; Ascomycota; Eurotiomycetes; Eurotiales; Aspergillaceae.
UUGACCUCGGAUCAGGUAGGAACCCAAUUUCC